UACGGAGGGUGCAAGCGUUAAUCGGAAUUACUGGGCGUAAAGCGUGCGCAGGCGGUUUGUUAAGUCCGUUGUGAAAGCCCCGGGCUCAACCUGGGAAUUGCAUUCGAGACUGCAUAGCUAGGGUGCGGAAGAGGGAAGCGGAAUUUCCGGUGUAGCGGUGAAAUGCGUAGAUAUCGGAAGGAACACCAGUGGCGAAAGCGGCUUCCUGGUCCAGCACCGACGUUCAGGCACGAAAGCGUGGGGAGCAAACAGG
This 253-nucleotide ribosomal RNA is filed under the name uncultured bacterium. RNAcentral describes it as "partial 16S ribosomal RNA". It matches the Rfam family "Bacterial small subunit ribosomal RNA", at positions 524 to 776 of the family's 1533-position model. The record is from RNAcentral.